UGGGGAAUAUUGCACAAUGGGCGCAAGCCUGAUGCAGCCAUGCCGCGUGUGUGAAGAAGGCCUUCGGGUUGUAAAGCACUUUCAGCGAGGAGGAAGGGUAGUGUGUUAAUAGCACAUUGCAUUGACGUUACUCGCAGAAGAAGCACCGGCUAACUCCGCGCCAGCAGCCGCGGUAAUAAGGAGGGUGCAAGCGUUAAUCGGAAUUACUGGGCGUAAAGCGCACGCAGGCGGUUUGUUAAGUCAGAUGUGAAAUCCCCGCGCUUAACGUGGGAACUGCAUUUGAAACUGGCAAGCUAGAGUCUUGUAGAGGGGGGUAGAAUUCCAGGUGUAGCGGUGAAAUGCGUAGAGAUCUGGAGGAAUACCGGUGGCGAAGGCGGCCCCCUGGACAAAGACUGACGCUCAGGUGCGAAAGCGUGGGGAGCAAACA
This 427-nucleotide ribosomal RNA is filed under the name uncultured bacterium. RNAcentral describes it as "partial 16S ribosomal RNA". It matches the Rfam family "Bacterial small subunit ribosomal RNA", at positions 355 to 774 of the family's 1533-position model. The record is from RNAcentral.